This 465-nucleotide ribosomal RNA is filed under the name uncultured bacterium. RNAcentral describes it as "partial 16S ribosomal RNA". It matches the Rfam family "Bacterial small subunit ribosomal RNA", at positions 29 to 507 of the family's 1533-position model. The record is from RNAcentral.
ACGAACGCUGGCGGCGUGCUUAACACAUGCAAGUCGAACGGAAAGGCCCUGCUUGCAGGGUACUCGAGUGGCGAACGGGUGAGUAACACGUGGGUGAUCUGCCCUGCACUUCGGGAUAAGCUUGGGAAACUGGGUCUAAUACCGGAUAGGAACCAUCUUUAGUGUGGUGGUUGGAAAGUUUUUUCGGUGUAGGAUGAGCUCGCGGCCUAUCAGCUUGUUGGUGGGGUAAUGGCCUACCAAGGCGGCGACGGGUAGCCGGCCUGAGAGGGUGUACGGCCACAUUGGGACUGAGAUACGGCCCAGACUCCUACGGGAGGCAGCAGUGGGGAAUAUUGCACAAUGGGCGCAAGCCUGAUGCAGCGACGCCGCGUGGGGGAUGAAGGCCUUCGGGUUGUAAACUCCUUUCGCUAGGGACGAAGCUUUGUUGUGACGGUACCUAGAUAAGAAGCACCGGCUAACUACGUG